AUGGCUCCCAGCGUGGAGCCCCUCGGCCCUGUCUCUGCCUUCGGCGGAUUGACAUCAGAAACCGGCGGCCAGCGAGUGCAAAUCCAUGGCGAUCUGAACCGCAACUGCCAAGUCCACGGCAAGAUGGCGUACAGAAAGGAAUUGAUCAGAAGAUGCCCCGCGAUGGUGCUUUGGGCAAAAAGCCAUGGUGGUCUUCAACCCCGUCCACGAGAUGGCGAGAUGGAUCGAUCGCUACUCAGACAGAAAGAGGAAGAAAUCCUUGAACAAGGAAGACGCACAGAGCAGGACACGGGCGUUGGCAUCCACGAUCAAUUGAUUAGUAACUGCCCUCCUCACGGCAAGACUUGGAACGGCGCCUCAGGCCAUUCACCAAAAAGACAGACAAUGCAUCAGUUUGCAUGCAUCCGUACAAGAAAUUGA
Molecule: ribosomal RNA, 420 nt
Filed under: Triticum aestivum (bread wheat)
Lineage: Eukaryota; Viridiplantae; Streptophyta; Magnoliopsida; Poales; Poaceae
Description: partial small subunit ribosomal RNA
Source: RNAcentral